This 229-nucleotide ribosomal RNA is filed under the name uncultured Acanthamoeba. RNAcentral describes it as "partial 18S ribosomal RNA". It matches the Rfam family "Eukaryotic small subunit ribosomal RNA", at positions 97 to 279 of the family's 1831-position model. Lineage: Eukaryota; Discosea; Longamoebia; Acanthamoebidae. The record is from RNAcentral.
CUCAUUAAAUCAGUUAUAGUUUAUUUGAUGGUCUUCUUUGUUCUUCUUUUUACCUACUUGGAUAACCGUGGUAAUUCUAGAGCUAAUACAUGCGCAAGGUCCCGAGCGCGGAGGGUAGGGCUUCACGGCUCUACUCUUGCAUGCGUAGAGGGAUGUAUUUAUUAGGUUAAACAACCAGCAUCUUUUCAUUUCUGGUGGUUCAUAGUAACUCUUUCGGAUCGCAUUCAUG